RNAcentral lists this ribosomal RNA (473 nucleotides) under uncultured bacterium. Its description in RNAcentral is "SSU rRNA". It matches the Rfam family "Bacterial small subunit ribosomal RNA", at positions 26 to 518 of the family's 1533-position model. The record is from RNAcentral.
AGGACGAACGCUGGCGGCGUGCUUAACACAUGCAAGUCGAACGGAAAGGCCCUUCGGGGUACUCGAGUGGCGAACGGGUGAGUAACACGUGAGCAAUCUGCCCCUAGCUCUGGGAUAGCUCCGGGAAACCGGGAUUAAUACCAGAUAUUACUACGGCCGACAUCAGCUGUGGUGGAAAGAAUUUCGGCUAGGGAUGAGCUCGCGGCCUAUCAGCUUGUUGGUGGGGUAAAGCCCACCAAGGCGACGACGGGUAGCCGGCCUGAGAGGGCGACCGGCCACACUGGGACUGAGACACGGCCCAGACUCCUACGGGAGGCAGCAGUGGGGAAUAUUGCGCAAUGGGCGAAAGCCUGACGCAGCGACGCCGCGUGCGGGAUGAAGGCCUUCGGGUUGUAAACCGCUUUCAGCAGGGACGAAGCGAAAGUGACGGUACCUGCAGAAGAAGCGCCGGCUAACUACGCGCCAGCAGCCGC